RNAcentral lists this ribosomal RNA (264 nucleotides) under uncultured bacterium. Its description in RNAcentral is "partial 16S ribosomal RNA". It matches the Rfam family "Bacterial small subunit ribosomal RNA", at positions 90 to 354 of the family's 1533-position model. The record is from RNAcentral.
ACUGAGUGGCGGACGGGUGAGUAACGCGUGGGUAACCUGCCCUGUACAGGGGGACAACAGUUAGAAAUGACUGCUAAUACCGCAUAAGCGCACAGGACCGCAUGGUCCGGUGUGAAAAACUCCGGUGGUACAGGAUGGACCCGCGUCUGAUUAGGUAGUUGGCGGGGUAAUGGCCCACCAAGCCGACGAUCAGUAGCCGACCUGAGAGGGUGACCGGCCACAUUGGGACUGAGACACGGCCCAAACUCCUACGGGAGGCAGCAG